GCUGUUGGUUAAAAGUUUUGAAUUUGACUUUCUAACAUUGGUCGUUUGGACCAAUCAGGUGUGGCGUUUGUUCGUAAAUUACCGACCGAGCAAUAGUUUUGGUCACGUGAUGGCGCUCGAUGCGCCACCAUUAACAAUGAAGUUAACCUCCAAAUUAGUCUCGUGUAGUGCAAAUGGUGCAAAUUAUACGUAAUUAAUUCAAAAAAGUAGAGAAAUUAAAGUUGAAUAUGUAGUUAGAAGUCAAUUUGCAUUGUGUACAAUUUACUUUAAAGUUAAAUAUAUCUGAAGAGUGGCGAUAUUAUCGCACUGAAGAGGAAAAUUAAACUCCUUGGCGUCACAUUGCAGGCAUUGUGUCGUCUUGUCGGUCGUCGUCAAAUUGAUCGAGGACAAUAAUCGAAUGAGAAAUUUUCUGACCUGAAAUUAUUGUCGGUCAAUUUCCAAAAUUCUCGAAUAAGAAAGUGAGGUUAUGUUUGCCAAUUCGAUGCGCCAAAUAUUGUCGUUGUCAUUGUUUAUUGUUCUCAACAGUGGAAAAGAAACAACGUGGGAACUAAAUUUAUAGUAAGAUGACGGCUUGCGAAAAGGGAAGAACUGUUUUUCUGAACUGCAAACAUUAUUUCAAGGAGUAAAGCAAAUACAUAUACUUUUCAUACAAUUUGUUUUUAAAAGUAAAAAAUAAAAUUAGAAAAAGAGCGAAUAAAGAAUUCUUUGAUAAGAAAUUAGUCCUCUUUAAAGAUUUUCCAUGAAUUGACACACAAGAAAAAGAGAUGCAAACCGCGAAGAGAAAUUCAAUCAAUUGCCUAUAUAGGAGUUCAUCAGACCAAAGGUAUUUAUCGUUAACAAUAUUAUAUUACCAUAAACAUAUUUUGUUCCAAAAAAAUUUUAAUAACAAAAAUAGUCACUUGUUUAUUCCUGCUUUUGUUGAUAACCAAACAAUUAUGUUAAAAACACGUGCGCAAAAAUUACACAGAAAAAACAAAAUCAGAAACCUGCUUCUUAAAAUCAUAUAUCAAAAUGUUUCAAACUAUAAUAUAGUUUCAGUCUUAGCAGUAAAAAUACCGACUUUAAUUAUAAAAUUAAAUUUUUGGCUAAAAUUUAGUCGAAAAACAAUUUUUAGUGUAAAUGG
Leptopilina heterotoma is the source of this 1123-nucleotide long non-coding RNA. RefSeq lists it as uncharacterized. The record is from RefSeq and is a predicted model, not a curated record. Lineage: Eukaryota; Metazoa; Arthropoda; Insecta; Hymenoptera; Figitidae. The transcript has 3 exons.